This 711-nucleotide ribosomal RNA is filed under the name uncultured soil bacterium. RNAcentral's name for it is "bacterial SSU rRNA". It matches the Rfam family "Bacterial small subunit ribosomal RNA", at positions 28 to 756 of the family's 1533-position model. The record is from RNAcentral.
GACGAACGCUGGCGGCGUGCUUAACACAUGCAAGUCGAACGAUGAAGCCCUUCGGGGUGGAUUAGUGGCGAACGGGUGAGUAACACGUGGGCAAUCUGCCCUUCACUCUGGGACAAGCCCUGGAAACGGGGUCUAAUACCGGAUAACACUCUGUCCCGCAUGGGACGGGGUUGAAAGCUCCGGCGGUGAAGGAUGAGCCCGCGGCCUAUCAGCUUGUUGGUGGGGUAAUGGCCUACCAAGGCGACGACGGGUAGCCGGCCUGAGAGGGCGACCGGCCACACUGGGACUGAGACACGGCCCAGACUCCUACGGGAGGCAGCAGUGGGGAAUAUUGCACAAUGGGCGAAAGCCUGAUGCAGCGACGCCGCGUGAGGGAUGACGGCCUUCGGGUUGUAAACCUCUUUCAGCAGGGAAGAAGCGAAAGUGACGGUACCUGCAGAAGAAGCGCCGGCUAACUACGUGCCAGCAGCCGCGGUAAUACGUAGGGCGCAAGCGUUGUCCGGAAUUAUUGGGCGUAAAGAGCUCGUAGGCGGCUUGUCACGUCGGAUGUGAAAGCCCGGGGCUUAACCCCGGGUCUGCAUUCGAUACGGGCUAGCUAGAGUGUGGUAGGGGAGAUCGGAAUUCCUGGUGUAGCGGUGAAAUGCGCAGAUAUCAGGAGGAACACCGGUGGCGAAGGCGGAUCUCUGGGCCAUUACUGACGCUGAGGAGCGA